Gordionus sp. m RMFG-2023 is the source of this 390-nucleotide long non-coding RNA. RefSeq lists it as uncharacterized. The transcript is spliced from 3 exons. The record is from RefSeq and is a predicted model, not a curated record. Lineage: Eukaryota; Metazoa; Nematomorpha; Gordioida; Chordodea; Parachordodidae.
UAUUAUUAUGACCUAACCCCAAACUCAAAUAUCUCUUAACCUACAAAACAUCUCAAGAUCAUCUAGAGCUCUUCUUUAGCUGUUUACGAAGCAGAGGAGGUUUUAAUAAUAACCCUUCUGCCUAUCAAUUACGAUCAGCUAUAAGAGGCGUUAUGAUAGCAAAGAUGGGAGCCUUAUGCACAGAUGUUCCAGAUAUCCAAAAAUUAUCGCCAUUCGUUGAUAACAUCGCAACUUAUAUAUCAGGAUAUAUAACACGUAAACUUAUAUUCGAAGAUAAAGUAAAGUGUUAUAUAUGUAUUUCUGCAAUGAUUGUUAAAAAUUGUAAAGAUCAAGAGAGCUAUAAUUAAAAACAAUCAGGGAUUAAUAAUUCCUUCCAGAGAUGUAUCUAGA